CGGGGCUUAGUGCCGCAGCUAACGCAUUAAGCACUCCGCCUGGGGAGUACGACCGCAAGGUUGAAACUCAAAGGAAUUGACGGGGGCCCGCACAAGCGGUGGAGCAUGUGGUUUAAUUCGAAGCAACGCGAAGAACCUUACCAGGUCUUGACAUCCCGAUGCCCGCUCUAGAGAUAGAGUUUUACUUCGGUACAUCGGUGACAGGUGGUGCAUGGUUGUCGUCAGCUCGUGUCGUGAGAUGUUGGGUUAAGUCCCGCAACGAGCGCAACCCUUAUUGUUAGUUGCCAUCAUUCAGUUGGGCACUCUAGCGAGACUGCCGGUAAUAAACCGGAGGAAGGUGGGGAUGACGUCAAAUCAUCAUGCCCCUUAUGACCUGGGCUACACACGUGCUACAAUGGCUGGUACAACGAGUCGCAAGUCGGUGACGGCAAGCUAAUCUCUUAAAGCCAGUCUCUGUUCGGAUUGUAGGCUGCAACUCGCCUACAUGAAGUCGGAAUCGCUAGUAAUCGCGGAUCAGCACGCCGCGGUGAAUACGUUCCCGGGCCUUGUACACACCGCCCGUCACACCACGAGAGUUUGUAACACCCGAAGUCGGUGAGGUANCCUUUUAGGAGCCA
Molecule: ribosomal RNA, 617 nt
Filed under: uncultured bacterium
Lineage: Bacteria
Description: bacterial SSU rRNA
Rfam family: Bacterial small subunit ribosomal RNA
Source: RNAcentral